UCGGAGUGGUUGAGCACCGGUAAGAUAAACCCACCGUCGAGGAAAUCGUCGGAGCCGCCGCCCACGGCGGCGCACACCCCGUAGUCACCCUCCUCCAGCUCGAAUAUCGGCGGCCACUGCAGCGGCACGUAGGAGAGCUCCUCGGCGGCCUUCUCGCCGUCGCUGUUGGAGGCCAAGCUGUCGUAGCUGUUACUGCGGGAGAAGGCCGACGACACCCUGAUUGGCUUGGGCAGGUAGACCUUGGUCUUAGGCGGCGGGGUAGGCUCGUCGGCGGCGCUCUCGUCCUUUAACGGCGAGGGAGGGGUGGGCUUCUGCUUGGGCUUCUUCUUCUUGGGCUUGGCGGCGAGGUUGGGGAGGUCUUUGUGAGGGGCGGCGGCGGUCUUGAGCUUCUUGAGGAGGUGUGUGUUCCAGUAGUUCUUGAUCUCAUUGUCAGUUCGACCUGGCAAUCUACCGGCGAUGAGCGACCAGCGGUUGCCGAGGAGGCCGUGCAGCCGCACGAUCAAAUCUUCCUCAUCUUCGCUGAUGUUGCCUCGCUUUAUCCCAGGCCGCAGGUAGUUCAUCCACCUCAGCCUGCAGCUCUUUCCGCACCUCAGUAGUCCUGCAUACCCAAGGAUAAUUACAUUUAUACUCCUCCAGAGAGAGAGAGAGAGAGAGAGAGAGUAAGUUAAUUGUAGUAANACAGAGAGAGAGAGAGAGAGAGAGAGAGAGUAAAUUUGUGAAGUUAAUUACCAGCUUUCUUGGGGAGAGAUCGCCAUUGGCCUUCG
This 764-nucleotide long non-coding RNA is filed under the name Salvia miltiorrhiza (redroot sage). RNAcentral's name for it is "long non-coding RNA (SMIL_LNC000773)". The record is from RNAcentral. Lineage: Eukaryota; Viridiplantae; Streptophyta; Magnoliopsida; Lamiales; Lamiaceae.